GAUUAGAUCUCAAAUCAGGUAGGACUACCCGCUGAACUUA
This 40-nucleotide ribosomal RNA is filed under the name Rhodotorula mucilaginosa. RNAcentral describes it as "partial 28S ribosomal RNA". RNAcentral also lists the same sequence under 1 other name. Lineage: Eukaryota; Fungi; Basidiomycota; Microbotryomycetes; Sporidiobolales; Sporidiobolaceae. The record is from RNAcentral.